Molecule: ribosomal RNA, 364 nt
Filed under: Escherichia coli
Lineage: Bacteria; Pseudomonadati; Pseudomonadota; Gammaproteobacteria; Enterobacterales; Enterobacteriaceae
Description: bacterial SSU rRNA
Rfam family: Bacterial small subunit ribosomal RNA
Source: RNAcentral
UUGAGUCUCGUAGAGGGGGGUAGAAUUCCAGGUGUAGCGGUGAAAUGCGUAGAGAUCUGGAGGAAUACCGGUGGCGAAGGCGGCCCCCUGGACGAAGACUGACGCUCAGGUGCGAAAGCGUGGGGAGCAAACAGGAUUAGAUACCCUGGUAGUCCACGCCGUAAACGAUGUCGACUUGGAGGUUGUGCCCUUGAGGCGUGGCUUCCGGAGCUAACGCGUUAAGUCGACCGCCUGGGGAGUACGGCCGCAAGGUUAAAACUCAAAUGAAUUGACGGGGGCCCGCACAAGCGGUGGAGCAUGUGGUUUAAUUCGAUGCAACGCGAAGAACCUUACCUGGUCUUGACAUCCACGGAAGUUUUCAGAG